RNAcentral lists this unclassified non-coding RNA (3926 nucleotides) under Hermetia illucens (black soldier fly). Its description in RNAcentral is "lamin Dm0-like, transcript variant X4". The record is from RNAcentral. Lineage: Eukaryota; Metazoa; Arthropoda; Insecta; Diptera; Stratiomyidae.
CAUUUGCGCGCCAACGCCUUCACGACCAUACCAAGAAUCAAAGAUUCAGUGCGCGCGCGCUAAUUUCAUUUUAUUCCGGGUACAGAUCAGUGUGGUGAGGUUACAACCAGUCAGUUGAAGAUACGUCUUCAAGUCGGUUAGGUUUUGUGAUUGUUGCAUUCUUAUUUGAAUUCUGGCGCGUAAGGUUGCUACGAACAGUGAAUAGUUGAAUUAAAAAAAAUAUUUUGAAAGUUUAACAACAAACCAAGCAGUUGUCGGAGUUUAUUUUGUUAAUCUAAUUUUGAAUUUGAAAUAAUUUUUAAAUUUAGAACUGUCACCCUGUGCAUUUAGACAUUUUAGAGCAUUUGAAUCGCGCGACAGCGUCCCAAGUUAGUUGGCGUCGGGUUUUUAAGCGUACGGAAGGGAUUUUGGAAGAGCAGCUAAUUUGUGCUGUAUUAUCGCGUUGUAAAGUGUAUUUAAAUCCUAAAUUCAAUCAAAAGCUGAAACAGCUCGUCGCGAAGUACACAACAAACCGUAUCCGACGCGAAUCUGACUAGUGUAAAUAAGUCGGCGCUCAUAACCUCAAAAUUUUGUCGGUGCUCCAUUGCCUACAAAAAAGUGUAUAAAUCUCGACCAAGAUCCCAAGUACUCAUCGAAACAUUCAAUAUCCAUAAUCCGCGUCACGCUCGCCGGUAUAAACACAAACAAUGGCAACAAAAAGCGGUCGAAAAUUGGGUACGCCGGUUGGUGGCCAAUCGGGCGGAACGCCAGCACCGGGCACCUCGACCCCCAUUUCAAAUUUACGACCCAGCAGUCCGCUCAGUCCGACGCGUCAUAGCCGCUUAGCGGAAAAGGCGGAAUUGCAAUCUUUGAAUGAUCGUCUGGCGAUUUACAUAGAUCGUGUACGUCAUCUUGAAACGGAAAAUUCACGGCUUACCCUUGAAGUUCAAACUACCCGGGAGACCGUGACACGUGAAGUUUCUAAUAUAAAAUCAAUGUAUGAACAUGAAUUGAGUGAUGCGCGAAAGUUAUUGGACGAGACGGCACGCGAAAAAGCUAAAUUGGAAAUUGACACGAAACGAUUGUGGGAGGAGAACGAUGAACUUAAAGCAAGGCUUGAUAAGAAGCUCAAAGAACUAGCUCUUGCUGAAAACUCAGCUCGUGUAUAUGAAUCUCGUUGUACCGAACUUACCGGUAAAUACAAUACAGCCUGUGCCGAUCGUAAAAAGGCCGUUGACGAAGCCAAAGAUCUUGAAAAGGAGAACGAUCGAUUGCGUAAACAACUUGAGGAGGCACGUAAACAUCUUGAAGACGAGACACUAGCUCGUGUUGAUCUUGAAAAUACAGUCCAAUCUCUACGAGAAGAGUUAACAUUCAAGGAUCAAGUACACUCACAAGAAUUGAGUGAGACGCGUACACGACGCCAAGUUGAAAUUAGUGAAAUCGAUGGACGCCUCUCAGAACAAUAUGAAGCCAAGUUGCAACAAUCAUUGCAAGAAUUGCGUGAUCAGUAUGAGGCUCAGAUGCGUGCUAAUCGUGAUGAAAUCGAGCUACUCUAUGAAAACAAAAUCAAGAACUUGCAGAAUGCAGCACAACGUAAUAGUAGUGCAGCAUCGAGCGCUUAUGAGGAGCUUCGAACAACACGAACGAAGAUUGAUACCUUGGGCUCACGUAUUAGUGAGCUAGAAGCGCAGAAUAGUGCAUUGAACAGCCGUAUUCGUGACUUGGAGAAGAUCCUAGAUGCUGAGCGCUCACGUCACGCUGAAGACAUUUCAAUGCUUGAAGCAGAACUGUCCAGGUUGCGUGAUGAAAUGGCGCAACAACUUCAAGAAUAUCAAGAUCUGAUGGACAUUAAAGUCUCAUUAGACUUGGAACUUGCUGCCUACGAUAAAAUGUUGAAGGGUGAAGAACAUCGUCUUAAUAUCACACCAAAUACAUCUGCAACAUCAACGACCCAGUUAAGCCAGUCGUUGCGUAGUCGUCACACUCCUGUACGUCGUACUCCAUCACGUGCUCUUCCCGCUAAACGUAAACGUACCGUUGUCGAGGAGUCUGAAGAUCGUAACCUUUCCGAUUAUUCAGUUACAUCUUCUGCCAAGGGUGAUAUUGAGAUUUUUGAAGCUGAUCCUGAAGGACAAUAUGUUAAAUUACACAAUAAAACUAAUAAGGAAGUCAAUAUUGGUGGAUGGCAAUUGGUUCGUACGGCUGGUUCAAAUGAGACUAGCUUUAAAUUCCAUCGUUCCGUUAAAAUUGAUGGAAAUGGUUAUAUAACAGUUUGGUCAUCUGAUGCUGGUGUUACACAUGAACCACCCACUAAUAUUGUUAUGAAGUCACAAAAGUGGUUUGUUGGAGAUAAUAUGAAGACUAUCCUCGUGAAUACUGAUGGAGAGGAAGUUGCCGGGUCUGAACGACAAAAGAUAACAGUAUCCAGUCAUGCAUCACGUCAUCGGGAAUCAGGCGGCUACAGCGGUGGUGAGGAUAUGUAUCAUCACCAGGUACGAGCAUCUAGCAGUUCUUCUGUAGGGCGCUCAUUCUGGUUGUGGUGAAAAGCAAAAACUCGAUUAAAUGCAUCAAAUAAAAUGCAAAAAAAAAGUUAAUAUAAGCAUAAAGUACAUUAUAAAAGAACAAAAAAUCCAAACAGUGAAAAGAAUUAUAAGUAGCGUUUAAAAGUAAAGGAGAAAAAAAUAAGUUGUGUUAUCCCGAAUAACAAUAAAAGUGAACAAGUUCAAAGUUUUAUAUUAUAAUCAAAAAAUAUUCAUUUGUAAAAGUUCAUUAAGUGCCGAUAGACAGACAACAGUUUAUAUAUUGAAACCCGUUAAAAAUUAUAAAUUUAUCUAGAGAAGAGAAAUCUUUAAAUUUAAAAAAAAAAACUCAUCGAGCGUAUCUCGGCCUUUUAAAGAAAAUCUUCAGGGCAUUCGGUUAUUGGUACUAUUGUAUCAAGAAAGUUUCAACGUAAAAAUACAUUUGAUCCUACUCUACUUACUACUAAUACUAGCUUUUGUCUGCCACUAUUAUUUUGUUUGCUGUCUACUUUUCGUAUCCUGUAAUUGCUGUGAGGAUGCAAUCACCCUCCACCCACGAAACAGAGAGAGAGAGAGAGAAGAAACAAGUCGAAAGAACAUGGCGAACCACAAGGUGAAGAGAAGUGUCGUCUAAUGUAAUCCAAUUCAUUUUCCACGAAGUUCGCAUCAACUAUUUUGUCGCGAUCAACAGUAGUAAUAGUAGUAUAGAAAGAGCUUCGUUAUUUUUAGAAGGUUAUGAUAAGUCAGUGCAGAAAUAAAUAGAAAUAUAAAAACUCGAAAUUGCUGAUGGCAUAAAAACCGGGGGGAAAAUAAUUUUUAAUUGAAGCUAAUCAAGGAUUACUAGAGGCAAAAUACCAAGUUAAACAGGAAGUAUGUAGGGUCCAUGAGAGGAAAAUUAUAUUUUCUGAAGUAGAUAGAGUUUAUUUGAUUGUAAAACGUAUGAUAAGAAUGAAAAUGGAAUAUGUAACGGGGGUGGAACGAUUCAGGUUUAAUCCUAGUAAAAGCAAACUGUAGAGUUGUGUAGGCAGAAAUAGAUUUCAUCUUUAAUGCAAAAAAAAUUUUCUUCUGGUGAAAUAGAGUAGGGGGGGCGGAAAAGAUUGAGAAACAAACCUCACGGCCUCAGUAAAAUCAAUUAAAUAAUUGACAUGAAGGAGAAUGUCCUUAGAUUUAGUAUUUCUAUAUAUAUUUUAUUUUUACACGCCUUUUCUUUGUUUAUAAAAUAGUUCGUUUCUUUUUUUAUAUUAAAAAAAACAAAUUAUUAAAACGUUGUGUUCAAGUAUAUCAUGAAAGAGAAGUUAAAGAAAAUAAUAAAUUUUUGUACAUGAAAGUCAAUAAAUAUAUAAUUAUGAAUUCGUUGAUAUGUCUCACAAAAAAAAAAAAGUGCAUAUUGUCUAGUAAUUGAAUAAAGUGAAACUUCCCAAAGGU